GACGAACGCUGGCGGCGUGCCUAAUACAUGCAAGUAGAACGCUGAAGGAGGAGCUUGCUCUUCUGGAUGAGUUGCGAACGGGUGAGUAACGCGUAGGUAACCUGCCUGGUAGCGGGGGAUAACUAUUGGAAACGAUAGCUAAUACCGCAUAAGAGUAGAUGUUGCAUGACAUUUACUUAAAAGGUGCAAUUGCAUCACUACCAGAUGGACCUGCGUUGUAUUAGCUAGUUGGUGGGGUAACGGCUUACCAAGGCGACGAUACAUAGCCGACCUGAGAGGGUGAUCGGCCACACUGGGACUGAGACACGGCCCAGACUCCUACGGGAGGCAGCAGUAGGGAAUCUUCGACAAUGGACGGAAGUCUGACCGAGCAACGCCGCGUGAGUGAAGAAGGUUUUCGGAUCGUAAAGCUCUGUUGUAAGAGAAGAACGAGUGUGAGAGUGGAAAGUUCACACUGUGACGGUAUCUUACCAGAAAGGGACGGCUAACUACGUG
RNAcentral lists this ribosomal RNA (495 nucleotides) under uncultured bacterium. RNAcentral's name for it is "partial 16S ribosomal RNA". It matches the Rfam family "Bacterial small subunit ribosomal RNA", at positions 28 to 507 of the family's 1533-position model. The record is from RNAcentral.